Xenopus tropicalis (tropical clawed frog) is the source of this 81-nucleotide small nucleolar RNA. Lineage: Eukaryota; Metazoa; Chordata; Amphibia; Anura; Pipidae. The record is from Ensembl.
UCUCUAUGAUGUUCCAAUAGAUCCUUCUGAUCCUUCACUAUGUACUCAGAAUGGACCUGAGGAGAUUGUAUUACUGAGGGG